This 484-nucleotide ribosomal RNA is filed under the name uncultured bacterium. RNAcentral describes it as "partial 16S ribosomal RNA". It matches the Rfam family "Bacterial small subunit ribosomal RNA", at positions 30 to 507 of the family's 1533-position model. The record is from RNAcentral.
AUUGAACGCUGGCGGCAGGCCUAACACAUGCAAGUCGAGCGGAUGAAGGGAGCUUGCUCCUGGAUUCAGCGGCGGACGGGUGAGUAAUGCCUAGGAAUCUGCCUGGUAGUGGGGGAUAACGUCCGGAAACGGGCGCUAAUACCGCAUACGUCCUGAGGGAGAAAGUGGGGGAUCUUCGGACCUCACUCUAUCGGAUGAGCCUAGGUCGGAUUAGCUAGUUGGUGGGGUAAAGGCCUACCAAGGCGACGAUCCGUAACUGGUCUGAGAGGAUGAUCAGUCACACUGGAACUGAGACACGGUCCAGACUCCUACGGGAGGCAGCAGUGGGGAAUAUUGGACAAUGGGCGAAAGCCUGAUCCAGCCAUGCCGCGUGUGUGAAGAAGGUCUUCGGAUUGUAAAGCACUUUAAGUUGGGAGGAAGGGCAGUAAGUUAAUACCUUGCUGUUUUGACGUUACCAACAGAAUAAGCACCGGCUAACUUCGUG